UGUAUGUGUGUAUUUAUUUUACCUAUGUAUACAUUCAUUAUAUAUCUUUGUUAUUUUACUAGAUAAAUGUAGGACUGAUGGUGCCACAUGAAACUGAUGGAGCCGAUUUAAAACCUCUACGAGGGAAAACACUCCCGUUAUUUGCAGACCCGGAGUGGAUGAUACCUCAGACUCUGAUUCUGAAACUGUCAUCACAACAAGGAGCACAGCUGAAUUCAAUCGAGCUGACACUUUGGUUUUUGACCCACAAAAUCGAAGUACUCCCAAACUCAAACUGGAAGAUGAAAGAGAUGCACCAGGACAUUCAUCAACAAUUCGGCCAGGACAGAUAGUAAUAUCUGAUGCUGAGGAUCUGGAUCCACCUGAAAAAAAUCCAGAAAAAACUUCUUGCUACAGUAAAUACACAGACCUAUAUUCACCAAAUGUUGAG
Molecule: long non-coding RNA, 430 nt
Organism: Siniperca chuatsi (mandarin fish)
Lineage: Eukaryota; Metazoa; Chordata; Actinopteri; Centrarchiformes; Sinipercidae
Exons: 6
Source: RefSeq, a predicted model, not a curated record